GAUGAACGCUAGCGGGAGGCCUAACACGUGCAAGCCGAGCGGUAGAGUUUCUUCGGAAACUUGAGAGCGGCGCACGGGUGCGUAACACGUGUGCAACCUACCUUUAUCUGGGGGAUAGCCUUUCGAAAGGAAGAUUAAUACCCCAUAAUAUAAUGAUUGGCAUCAAUUAUUAUUGAAAACUCCGGUGGAUAGAGAUGGGCACGCGCAAGAUUAGAUAGUUGGUGAGGUAACGGCUCACCAAGUCAAUGAUCUUUAGGGGUCCUGAGAGGGAGAUCCCCCACACUGGUACUGAGACACGGACCAGACUCCUACGGGAGGCAGCAGUGAGGAAUAUUGGACAAUGGGUGAGAGCCUGAUCCAGCCAGCCCGCGUGAAGGAUGACGGUCCUAUGGAUUGUAAACUUCUUUUGUACAGGGAUAAACCUACCCUCGUGAGGGUAGCUGAAGGUACUGUACGAAUAAGCACCGGCUAACUCCGUG
Molecule: ribosomal RNA, 479 nt
Filed under: uncultured bacterium
Lineage: Bacteria
Description: partial 16S ribosomal RNA
Rfam family: Bacterial small subunit ribosomal RNA
Source: RNAcentral